RNAcentral lists this long non-coding RNA (592 nucleotides) under Capra hircus (goat). RNAcentral describes it as "lncRNA (ENSCHIG00010023152.1)". The record is from RNAcentral. Lineage: Eukaryota; Metazoa; Chordata; Mammalia; Artiodactyla; Bovidae.
AUCAAACUUCUGCCCUGGGCCUUUAGACAUUAGCAAAUCUAAAUUUUCAGUUGGAAGUCUUACUCCAACCACCUCCCGGACUGUUGAUAUCACCACUGCCGUUAUCUAAAAUGACACAAUCCAGGCAGGGACACAAGAAGUUGGAACAAUGAGUCUGUAAUACAGACUGAAUGUUUGCUCACAGCUGAUCUCAUGGACCAGUUUCUUCCCUGGAUGCCACCUGUAGGGAACUCACAAAGCUUCGGGAGCAAGGGUAAGUGCCAGUUACCUAGAAAGUCAAGGAUGCAUGCCUCAUAUAGGCAGGAGGGGGCAUGUGACUCCUCAGAAUAAAUAAAGUCCUGAUAGAUCUUUUUUCAGAAGCAGAAUUCAGUUAAAGCUGCUCAUGGAUUGUACUCACUAUUUCACAGGUUCUGGGCCUUUUGACAAGUGCCAUUGGAAUACAGAUUCCUGAUAGUCAGCUGUCCAAAGUGUUAAGCCAUUUAAGAAUAUGUCCUCUUAACAGAGGCACUGGCCCAUAUGGAAAUCCAGAAGGUGAUUCAUCCUCCUCGUGGCAUUUGUUUUAGUUCUAGCUAGCACUCCCCUGUCAUUUAUC